This is a long non-coding RNA of Electrophorus electricus (electric eel), 1095 nucleotides long. RefSeq lists it as uncharacterized. Lineage: Eukaryota; Metazoa; Chordata; Actinopteri; Gymnotiformes; Gymnotidae. The record is from RefSeq and is a predicted model, not a curated record.
UAAAUCACAAAACAGCUUAUGGCGGUGAAGGUGCAGCUAGUGACUCGAACCGUGUUUCUGAAGGUUUAGCACUAGAAAGAUGUAGGUAAAACAGAAGGCGGUAGCUGCCCUGGAGGUAAAGGUAAUAUGUUGUCAUUUUUUGGGUUGGUUAGUUUUUUUCAUCUGUAUAAAGUAGCGUAGACCUUGCGAAGGAACCAUUUGAAUGCGGAACAAGUGUUGGUGCGCUUGUGGUUUCCCAAGACCAUCCGCUCCGUGGUAACUUUGGGAAAUGCGCUAACUUGUUUAAUUGAUCCACUUUAUUUAAUACUAAGCACACACGUUUCUCGUAAUUCCGGAGAUCACAGCAUAGAUUAAUUGAUUAAACCUUAGCUAGCUGGUCGGGUUCCAAACCUGAGACUCUUCUGGAUGAAUCACCUACCUGCCGAUCCACCAGCAACGAUUUGACUUGACAUUAUUCCCAGACGUAAAACGGAGCCAGAAAGACUUCAAGCUCUCAACAGACAGGAGGGCUACCGUUGCCACGGAGACUGAGAGGCCCCGACAGCACCCACGUCUCUGCAAUACACGAAAGAUCUCCAGCUGGAAGCCUGACUAAAUUUCAGAAAGAGGUCUUUUGCUGUUGUGUUAGAGCAUUUGCAGUUGGACUGUUGGUGUUUCACGUGGUCUCAGACCCAUGAGUCAUGGUCUUUUUAGCAUAUGUCAGCACAUCACAAACUUGAAUCUCUCUAAAUGGAUGAAUCUCCUACCACCUUCUGAGGUGAGCUCAGUACAGUUCGUUUGUGGUUCGUAUUGUGGUCUGCUUGAUUCUUGCAUUGUGAAAAUGAAGCUUCCCUGGUUCGUUUCACUUUGUCAUUUAAAGCAAGUCUUAAGGCUCGUCAUAUGCUCCGAUAUUCAUGAGUCUCGAACAAUGUCUGCACAAUGAAUUGCGUGGCUCAAAAUUUGUCUAAUGCCUGUCUCUACUUUUACUUUAGUUUUGUUUUGGGUUUUUUUGUUGUUGUUUUUUACUGUUCUGGGAAUUUGAUCAGUUCUGUCAUAUCUUAGUUUUUUACUUUUUUUAAUCCACUUCAUUAAAAUGCAGACUCAACUAACAACCCA